This is an RNA transcript of Conger conger (European conger), 2740 nucleotides long. It is a transcript of the gene named coiled-coil domain-containing protein 50-like, with no coding region annotated. The record is from RefSeq and is a predicted model, not a curated record. NCBI's taxonomy places the organism in Eukaryota, Metazoa, Chordata, Actinopteri, Anguilliformes, Congridae. The transcript has 10 exons.
UUGAGCAGCACUACAGCUGGAACGUGCAGAAGAGGCAGGUGGUGCAGAGGGAUCUCCGCGUCGCCAAGAGCCUGCAGCACCAGGAGGAGCGAGGAGUUACCCCGCGUCACGCUACGAGGCGACUGGAGGAACAGGACUUUGAGUAUGCUUUAUGAUUCAGGAAGAGAUUCAGCGUCGCGCAGCAGAGGCGAGGAAGAGGGAACGAGAUGACGAGGAAGUGGCCAAACGAAUACAGGAAGAGGAAGUGAGGGGCACCGCAGAGCUGGAGAGUGGUUGCCAUGGGAAAUUCACCAGAUUCCCACUCAGUGAAGGGGCGGUGUUAGAGCUGGGAUCACUGCAACAGGUUCUCCUGGACCAUGAGCUGGCCUGGAGACUACAGGAAGCGGAGAGAGACAGGAACUUACACAGAGUGUCCCAUUCCCCGCCCCUCCCACCAAGCUCCGCCCCCGAGGGAGACUCCCGAGUGGCCCAGGUGGCCCAGGACGAGGAGAUCGCCCGCUUCAUGCAGAGGCAGGAAAUGAAGACCAAGAGGAGGUCAUGUGACAUGGAGGGUCAGGGGUCACAGCAGGAGCGCUGGGAAGCAGGAGAGAGGAGGGCAUCUCAGGAACUAAAGGUGCAGGUGCUGAGGGAGGAGCCACCCUCACCCAGCCAGGAGAGAACCCAACCGUCCAAUCAUCGACGGCAGCCAAUCAGGAACAUCGCAGAGGAGCUGGAUCCAACCUUCAAGGCCCGGCGCAAGGACAUCGGCCAAUCAGGGCUGAGCUGCUCCGAUCUCUGCCAGGCCCCUUCCACUCCUGGCCGCGGUUUCCAUGACUACACGGAGGAGCCCCUGUUCAUCCCGCCCACCAAGCGGCAGAGUGGCCAAUCAGGACACGGCAAAGCCAAGGAGAAGAAGGAGAGUUGCAAGCAGCAGUGACCACGCCCUGUUGCCCCCGCCCCCUACAGGUGUGCCCCACACCGCCCCCUACAGGUGUGCCCCACACCGCCCCCUACAGGUGUGUCCCACACUGCCCCCUACAGGUGUGUCCCACACUGCCCCCUACAGGUGUGUCCCACACUGCCCCCUACAGGUGUGUCACACACCGCCCCCUACAGGUGUGUCACACACUGCCCCCUACAGGUCUGCCGCACACCGCCCCCUACAGGUGUGUCCCACACUGCCCCCUACAGGUGAACAGGGGGCCUGGGAAUGGACUCACUGGACUCAUUGUAAGCGAGCAAAACUGUAUUUGUACAGCACUUUUCAUAUGGAACUGCAACCCAGCGUGCUGUGUACACAGAGAUCAAAAACAGAAAUACUACAAAGACAAUAAUAAGUAGUUAAAACGGAAAGAUUAAAAUUCUAAUAAAAGUGCUCUGCUCGUAGUCCAGCCCUCAUUUUAAUGAGGUCCAGUCCCAGACCGGACACCUGAGGCAGGUCUGUCCCCCCUCACUGUGACGCACCUGAGGUAAAAGCCAUGCUGAGAAGAUGGGUCUUAAGAUUUCUGAUUGGGGCAGGCUGGCUGUUCCAAAGGCUAGCGCCUUAAUAACCCGACGCUGCCGCACUGUGAUUUUUUAGUUCUGGCCUCCGGGACGAUAAACGACCAGCACCAGAGAAUGUGACUGGCACAUACCUAAACAGCGUCUCAGAAAAGUAGAGCGGUGCUUAGUCACUCAAUCAAAAAAAAAAACCAAACAAACAAACAAACUCAAAACCGUUGCCGUGGCCCACUGCAUCGUGGGAUUCCUCCCGUUACAGCUGAGCCUGUUUGUUUUCAACUUGGUUUCGCGUUUCACAAACAGUUGUCGGGGAGAUAAACGUGCACUACUCCAUUAUGUAUGAAUCAUCGAAAGCAGUGGCGCACUAUAUCUGACCUUCCCCAUUGGUAUCGGUGAGUCAGCGGUUAUAUGACACGGAGUCGAGUUCCUGCUGAUGAUUUAAAUGUUUGUGAUUUAAGUAAAAUACUGGAAUGCCUGCGGUUUAAGGAUACGCCCGUGUAAGCCCCCGUUAGCACGUUAGCAGUGUGAUUAGUGACUCAUGAGAAAUGAUCGUGAUGAAAUAAAACACUGGGAUGCCUGUGGGUUCAUGAUACGCUCGUGUAAGCCCCCGUCAGCAGUGUGAUUAGUGACUCAUGAGAAAUGUUCGUGAUUUAAGUAAAACACGAAUGACUGUGAGUUUAUGAUACGCUUGUGUAAGCCCCCGUUAGCCUGUCAGCAGUCUGAUUAGUGACUAAUGUGAAAUGAUCGUGAUUUUAAUAAAACCCUGUAAUGCCUGCGGGUUUUUGCUACGCUGGUGUACUGUAUGCCAGGUGUUCUCGGGGCUGUGAUUCCGGUUGAAGUCCUGAGAACAGCCAGUGAGUACCUGUGGGGAAAUAUAAUUGUGUUCACCUGAAUCAUGACUAAUAGUGUUACACCUAACCUUCCCAGCCCAUCACCAGUGCUACCACUCACACACACAAUGCUUCUCACACUAAUACACAGAUAUAUUCACACAUACACAGUCACACUCUCACAUACACACAAACACUUUCACUUUCAAGUUUAAACAGGUCCUAGGUGGGACCAUUAUGUGGGAAGGUUACUUACUGUUCCAAAAUCCUGUCAGCCUGUAGCGUAGUGGUUAAGGUACAUGACUGGGACACGCAAGGUCGGUGAUUCAAUCCACAAUAAGAUCCGCACAGCCAUUGGGCCCUUGAGCAAGGCCCUUAACCCUGCAUUGCUCCAGGGGAGGACUGUCUCCUGCUUAGUCUAAUCAACUGUA